GAGCCUACGGGAGGCAGCAGUAGGGAAUCUUCCACAAUGGACGAAAGUCUGAUGGAGCAACGCCGCGUGAGUGAAGAAGGGUUUCGGCUCGUAAACCCUGUUGUUAGAGAAGAAAGUGCGUGAGAGUAACUGUUCACGUUUCGACGGUAUCUAACCAGAAAGCCACGGCUAACUACGUGCCAGCAGCCGCGGUAAUACGUAGGUGGCAAGCGUUAUCCGGAUUUAUUGGGCGUAAAGGGAACGCAGGCGGUCUUUUAAGUCUG
Molecule: ribosomal RNA, 263 nt
Filed under: uncultured bacterium
Lineage: Bacteria
Description: partial 16S ribosomal RNA
Rfam family: Bacterial small subunit ribosomal RNA
Source: RNAcentral